This 72-nucleotide transfer RNA is filed under the name Camelus bactrianus (Bactrian camel). It matches the Rfam family "tRNA". Rfam says of the family: Transfer RNA (tRNA) molecules are approximately 80 nucleotides in length. Their secondary structure includes four short double-helical elements and three loops (D, anti-codon, and T loops). Lineage: Eukaryota; Metazoa; Chordata; Mammalia; Artiodactyla; Camelidae. RNAcentral also lists the same sequence under 2 other names. The record is from Rfam by way of RNAcentral.
AGGGUAAUAGCACAGUGGUAGAGUGAGUGCUUAGCAUGCACAAGGUCCUGGGUUCAAUCCUCAGUACCUCCA